CGUGGGUAACCUGCCUUAUAGUGGGGGAUAGCCUUCGAAAGGAAGAUUAAUACCGCAUAAGAUUGUAGUAUCGCAUGAUAUAGCAAUUAAAGGAGCAAUUCGCUAUAAGAUGGACCCGCGUCGCAUUAGCUAGUUGGUGAGGUAAUGGCUCACCAAGGCGACGAUGCGUAGCCGACCUGAGAGGGUGAUCGGCCACAUUGGGACUGAGACACGGCCCAGACUCCUACGGGAGGCAGCAUG
RNAcentral lists this ribosomal RNA (240 nucleotides) under uncultured bacterium. RNAcentral describes it as "partial 16S ribosomal RNA". It matches the Rfam family "Bacterial small subunit ribosomal RNA", at positions 116 to 353 of the family's 1533-position model. The record is from RNAcentral.